GCGCGCGUAGCUCAGUGGAUAGAGCAUCUGACUUCGGAUCAGAGGGCCAGGGGUUCAAAUCCUCUCGCGCGCACCA
Molecule: transfer RNA, 76 nt
Filed under: Bacillota bacterium
Lineage: Bacteria; Bacillati; Bacillota
Also listed under: 1 other name
Description: Firmicutes bacterium (anaerobic digester metagenome) tRNA-Arg
Rfam family: tRNA
About the family: Transfer RNA (tRNA) molecules are approximately 80 nucleotides in length. Their secondary structure includes four short double-helical elements and three loops (D, anti-codon, and T loops).
Source: RNAcentral